This 107-nucleotide small nucleolar RNA is filed under the name Sorghum bicolor (sorghum). RNAcentral's name for it is "Plant small nucleolar RNA R71". It matches the Rfam family "Plant small nucleolar RNA R71". Rfam says of the family: R71 is a member of the C/D box family of snoRNAs containing the C (UGAUGA) and D (CUGA) box motifs. Multiple nearly identical copies of this snoRNA have been identified in Arabidopsis, and it is thought to function as a 2'-O-ribose methylation guide for 18S ribosomal RNA. Lineage: Eukaryota; Viridiplantae; Streptophyta; Magnoliopsida; Poales; Poaceae. The record is from Rfam by way of RNAcentral.
AUCCCAUGGUGAGGACAGUCUGAUAUAUAAUCUUAGAAACAUUUUCAUGCCUUUAAGACAGAUUCAUCAUGUUGUUACUGAAACUCAAUCUUCCCAUGCAUAAGCAU